This 464-nucleotide ribosomal RNA is filed under the name Vreelandella stevensii. RNAcentral describes it as "partial 16S ribosomal RNA". It matches the Rfam family "Bacterial small subunit ribosomal RNA", at positions 338 to 794 of the family's 1533-position model. Lineage: Bacteria; Pseudomonadati; Pseudomonadota; Gammaproteobacteria; Oceanospirillales; Halomonadaceae. The record is from RNAcentral.
CCUACGGGUGGCAGCAGUGGGGAAUAUUGGACAAUGGGCGAAAGCCUGAUCCAGCCAUGCCGCGUGUGUGAAGAAGGCCUUCGGGUUGUAAAGCACUUUCAGUGGGGAAGAAAGCCUUGGGGCUAAUACCCUCGAGGAAGGACAUCACCCACAGAAGAAGCACCGGCUAACUCCGUGCCAGCAGCCGCGGUAAUACGGAGGGUGCGAGCGGUAAUCGGAAUUACUGGGCGUAAAGCGCGCGUAGGCGGUCUGAUAAGCCGGUUGUGAAAGCCCCGGGCUCAACCUGGGAACGGCAUCCGGAACUGUCAGGCUAGGGGGCAGAGGAGGAAGGUGGAAUCCCCGGGGUAGGGGGGAAAUGGGUAGAGAUCGGAGGGAAUACCAGUGGCAAAGGCGGCCUUUUGGCCGGCAACGGACCCUGAGGUGCGAAAGCGUGGGUAGCAAACAGGAUUAGUUACCCCAGUAGU